UAGGGAAUCUUCCACAAUGGACGCAAGUCUGAUGGAGCAACGCCGCGUGAGUGAAGAAGGUUUUCGGACCGUAAAGCUCUGUUGUUGGUGAAGAAGGAUAGAGGUAGUAACUGGCCUUUAUUUGACGGUAAUCAACCAGAAAGUCACGGCUAACUACGUGCCAGCAGCCGCGGUAAUACGUAGGUGGCAAGCGUUGUCCGGAUUUAUUGGGCGUAAAGCGAGCGCAGGCGGAAGAAUAAGUCUGAUGUGAAAGCCCUCAGCUUAACCGAGGAAUUGCAUCGGAAACUGUUUUCUUGAGUGCAGAAGAGGAGAGUAGAACUCCAUGUGUAGCGGUGGAAUGCGUAGAUAUAUGGAAGAAUACCAGUGGCGAAGGCGGCUCUCUGGUCUGCAACUGACGCUGAGGCUCGAAAGCAUGGGUAGCGAACAGGAUUAGAUACCCUGGUAGUCCAUGCCGUAAACGAUGAGUGCUAAGUGUUGGGAGGCUUCCGCCUCUCAGUGCUGCAGCUAACGCAUUAAGCACUCCGCCUGGGGGAGUACGACCGCAAGGUUGAAAC
This 554-nucleotide ribosomal RNA is filed under the name uncultured bacterium. RNAcentral's name for it is "partial 16S ribosomal RNA". It matches the Rfam family "Bacterial small subunit ribosomal RNA", at positions 355 to 900 of the family's 1533-position model. The record is from RNAcentral.